This 411-nucleotide ribosomal RNA is filed under the name uncultured bacterium. Its description in RNAcentral is "bacterial SSU rRNA". It matches the Rfam family "Bacterial small subunit ribosomal RNA", at positions 335 to 762 of the family's 1533-position model. The record is from RNAcentral.
ACUCCUACGGGAGGCAGCAGUGGGGAAUAUUGGACAAUGGGGGAAACCCUGAUCCAGCAAUGCCGCGUGAGUGAUGAAGGCCUUAAGGGUUGUAAAGCUCUUUUACCAGGGAUGAUAAUGACAGUACCUGGAGAAUAAGCUCCGGCUAACUCCGUGCCAGCAGCCGCGGUAAUACGGAGGGAGCUAGCGUUGUUCGGAAUUACUGGGCGUAAAGCGCACGUAGGCGGUUACUCAAGUCAGAGGUGAAAGCCCCGGGGCUCAACCCCGGAACUGCCUUUGAAACUAGGUAACUAGAAUCCUGGAGAGGUGAGUGGAAUUCCGAGUGUAGAGGUGAAAUUCGUAGAUAUUCGGAAGAACACCAGUGCGAAGGCGGCUCACUGGACAGGUAUUGACGCUGAGGUGCGAAAGCGU